This 2922-nucleotide ribosomal RNA is filed under the name Klebsiella pneumoniae. RNAcentral describes it as "23S ribosomal RNA". It matches the Rfam family "Bacterial large subunit ribosomal RNA". Lineage: Bacteria; Pseudomonadati; Pseudomonadota; Gammaproteobacteria; Enterobacterales; Enterobacteriaceae. The record is from RNAcentral.
GGGUUGUGAGGUUAAGCGACUAAGCGUACACGGUGGAUGCCCUGGCAGUCAGAGGCGAUGAAGGACGUGCUAAUCUGCGAAAAGCGUCGGUAAGGUGAUAUGAACCGUUAUAACCGGCGAUGUCCGAAUGGGGAAACCCAGUGCAAUUCGUUGCACUAUCGUUAACUGAAUACAUAGGUUAACGAGGCGAACCGGGGGAACUGAAACAUCUAAGUACCCCGAGGAAAAGAAAUCAACCGAGAUUCCCCGAGUAGCGGCGAGCGAACGGGGAGCAGCCCAGAGUCUGAAUCAGCUUGUGUGUUAGUGGAACGGUCUGGAAAGUCCGACGGUACAGGGUGAUAGUCCCGUACACCAAAAUGCACAGGCUGUGAACUCGAAGAGUAGGGCGGGACACGUGGUAUCCUGUCUGAAUAUGGGGGGACCAUCCUCCAAGGCUAAAUACUCCUGACUGACCGAUAGUGAACCAGUACCGUGAGGGAAAGGCGAAAAGAACCCCGGCGAGGGGAGUGAAAAAGAACCUGAAACCGUGUACGUACAAGCAGUGGGAGCACCUUCGGGUGUGACUGCGUACCUUUUGUAUAAUGGGUCAGCGACUUAUAUUCUGUAGCAAGGUUAACCGUAUAGGGGAGCCGCAGGGAAACCGAGUCUUAACUGGGCGUUAAGUUGCAGGGUAUAGACCCGAAACCCGGUGAUCUAGCCAUGGGCAGGUUGAAGGUUGGGUAACACUAACUGGAGGACCGAACCGACUAAUGUUGAAAAAUUAGCGGAUGACUUGUGGCUGGGGGUGAAAGGCCAAUCAAACCGGGAGAUAGCUGGUUCUCCCCGAAAGCUAUUUAGGUAGCGCCUCGUGAAUUCAUCUUCGGGGGUAGAGCACUGUUUCGGCUAGGGGGUCAUCCCGACUUACCAACCCGAUGCAAACUACGAAUACCGAAGAAUGUUAUCACGGGAGACACACGGCGGGUGCUAACGUCCGUCGUGAAGAGGGAAACAACCCAGACCGCCAGCUAAGGUCCCAAAGUCAUGGUUAAGUGGGAAACGAUGUGGGAAGGCACAGACAGCCGGGAUGUUGGCUUAGAAGCAGCCAUCAUUUAAAGAAAGCGUAAUAGCUCACUGGUCGAGUCGGCCUGCGCGGAAGAUGUAACGGGGCUAAACCAUGCACCGAAGCUGCGGCAGCGACACUAUGUGUUGUUGGGUAGGGGAGCGUUCUGUAAGCCUGCGAAGGUGACCUGUGAGGGUUGCUGGAGGUAUCAGAAGUGCGAAUGCUGACAUAAGUAACGAUAAAGCGGGUGAAAAGCCCGCUCGCCGGAAGACCAAGGGUUCCUGUCCAACGUUAAUCGGGGCAGGGUGAGUCGACCCCUAAGGCGAGGCCGAAAGGCGUAGUCGAUGGGAAACAGGUUAAUAUUCCUGUACUUGGUGUUACUGCGAAGGGGGGACGGAGAAGGCUAUGUUAGCCGGGCGACGGUUGUCCCGGUUUAAGCAUGUAGGCUGAUUGUCCAGGCAAAUCCGGAUAAUCAAGGCUGAGGUGUGAUGACGAGGCACUACGGUGCUGAAGUAACAAAUGCCCUGCUUCCAGGAAAAGCCUCUAAGCAUCAGGUAACAUUAAAUCGUACCCCAAACCGACACAGGUGGUCAGGUAGAGAAUACCAAGGCGCUUGAGAGAACUCGGGUGAAGGAACUAGGCAAAAUGGUGCCGUAACUUCGGGAGAAGGCACGCUGGUGUGUAGGUGAAGUCCCUGCGGAUGGAGCUGAGACCAGUCGAAGAUACCAGCUGGCUGCAACUGUUUAUUAAAAACACAGCACUGUGCAAACACGAAAGUGGACGUAUACGGUGUGACGCCUGCCCGGUGCCGGAAGGUUAAUUGAUGGGGUUAUCCGUAAGGAGAAGCUCUUGAUCGAAGCCCCGGUAAACGGCGGCCGUAACUAUAACGGUCCUAAGGUAGCGAAAUUCCUUGUCGGGUAAGUUCCGACCUGCACGAAUGGCGUAAUGAUGGCAGUCUGUCUCCACCCGAGACUCAGUGAAAUUGAACUCGCUGUGAAGAUGCAGUGUACCCGCGGCAAGACGGAAAGACCCCGUGAACCUUUACUAUAGCUUGACACUGAACAUUGAGCCUUGAUGUGUAGGAUAGGUGGGAGGCUUUGAAGCGUGGACGCCAGUCUGCGUGGAGCCAACCUUGAAAUACCACCCUUUAAUGUUUGAUGUUCUAACGUUGGCCCCUGACCGGGGUUGCGGACAGUGUCUGGUGGGUAGUUUGACUGGGGCGGUCUCCUCCCAAAGCGUAACGGAGGAGCACGAAGGUUAGCUAAUCCUGGUCGGACAUCAGGAGGUUAGUGCAAUGGCAUAAGCUAGCUUGACUGCGAGCGUGACGGCGCGAGCAGGUGCGAAAGCAGGUCAUAGUGAUCCGGUGGUUCUGAAUGGAAGGGCCAUCGCUCAACGGAUAAAAGGUACUCCGGGGAUAACAGGCUGAUACCGCCCAAGAGUUCAUAUCGACGGCGGUGUUUGGCACCUCGAUGUCGGCUCAUCACAUCCCGGGGCUGAAGUAGGUCCCAAGGGUAUGGCUGUUCGCCAUUUAAAGUGGUACGCGAGCUGGGUUUAGAACGUCGUGAGACAGUUCGGUCCCUAUCUGCCGUGGGCGCUGGAGAAUUGAGGGGGGCUGCUCCUAGUACGAGAGGACCGGAGUGGACGCAUCACUGGUGUUCGGGUUGUCAUGCCAAUGGCACUGCCCGGUAGCUAAAUGCGGAAGAGAUAAGUGCUGAAAGCAUCUAAGCACGAAACUUGCCCCGAGAUGAGUUCUCCCUGAGACUAUAAGUCUCCUGAAGGAACGUUAAAGACGAUGACGUUGAUAGGCCGGGUGUGUAAGCGCAGCGAUGCGUUGAGCUAACCGGUACUAAUGAACCGUGAGGCUUAACCUUACAACGCCGAAG